UGGCGAGAGGCUAUGGAGCAGGAGUUUCAUGCUCUCCUUCGUAACAAGACAUGGACUCUCGUUCCUCCACCACCACGGGUAAAUAUUAUUGACUCAAAAUGGGUAUUCAAAGUGAAGAAGCAUUCGGAUGGAUCUAUUGAGCGUUACAAAGCGCGACUUGUUGCUCGCGGUUUUCGGCAGCGCCAUGGUCUUGACUAUGAGGACACCUUCAGUCCUGUCGUCAAGCCUACCACUAUUCGGCUUCUUCUCUCCAUUGCUGUUUCUCGUGGUUGGUCACUUCGUCAACUUGAUGUGCAGAAUGCUUUUCUACAUGGUUUUUUGGAGGAAGAGGUUUAUAUGAAACAGCCGCCUGGUUUCUCUGAUCCUGAUCGUCCUGACUAUAUCUGUCGUCUCUCCAAAGCACUAUAUGGUUUGAAGCAAGCUCCU
RNAcentral lists this ribosomal RNA (426 nucleotides) under Triticum aestivum (bread wheat). RNAcentral's name for it is "partial small subunit ribosomal RNA". The record is from RNAcentral. Lineage: Eukaryota; Viridiplantae; Streptophyta; Magnoliopsida; Poales; Poaceae.